AAUUAAAUUCUGAUAUGGCAGAUUAGUGCAAUGAAUUUAAGCUUCAUAUAUAAAGUUAUUUACUUUUAUUAGAAAAU
RNAcentral lists this transfer RNA (77 nucleotides) under Eutrichopus gonzalezi. RNAcentral's name for it is "transfer RNA-Leu". The record is from RNAcentral. Lineage: Eukaryota; Metazoa; Arthropoda; Insecta; Coleoptera; Carabidae.